UGGGGAUACGAGGAUGAAUCCUGGGUUCUCUCCAGGAUGGAGAUAGUAUGGAUUACAAGGAUUUUGAGGAUCAAUUCUGGAAGGAUUGGGAGCUGUGAUUUCUUGUGAGUCAUCAAAGUCUAUGUCUGCCAUGGCUUCUUGAUGUGCAGCAAAGAUUCAGAACAGAAAGCAAGAAUGAAUUUGGUGAGAGAUGUGAUACCUUUUCUGGUU
Molecule: long non-coding RNA, 210 nt
Filed under: Lupinus angustifolius (narrow-leaved blue lupine)
Lineage: Eukaryota; Viridiplantae; Streptophyta; Magnoliopsida; Fabales; Fabaceae
Description: long non-coding RNA (LANG_LNC001391)
Source: RNAcentral